AUGUCGUCUGAGUACUAUAUAAUAGUUAAAACUUUCAACAACGGAUCUCUUGGUUCUGGCAUCGAUGAAGAACGCAGCGAAAUGCGAUAAGUAAUGUGAAUUGCAGAAUUCAGUGAAUCAUCGAAUCUUUGAACGCACAUUGCGCCCCUUGGUAUUACC
RNAcentral lists this ribosomal RNA (159 nucleotides) under Sclerotinia sclerotiorum. RNAcentral describes it as "5.8S ribosomal RNA". The stretch from base 30 to 159 matches the Rfam family "5.8S ribosomal RNA", at positions 1 to 129 of the family's 154-position model. Rfam says of the family: 5.8S ribosomal RNA (5.8S rRNA) is a component of the large subunit of the eukaryotic ribosome. It is transcribed by RNA polymerase I as part of the 45S precursor that also contains 18S and 28S rRNA. Functionally, it is thought that 5.8S rRNA may be involved in ribosome translocation. The record is from RNAcentral. Lineage: Eukaryota; Fungi; Ascomycota; Leotiomycetes; Helotiales; Sclerotiniaceae.